RNAcentral lists this ribosomal RNA (329 nucleotides) under uncultured eukaryote. Its description in RNAcentral is "partial 18S ribosomal RNA". It matches the Rfam family "Eukaryotic small subunit ribosomal RNA", at positions 1470 to 1796 of the family's 1831-position model. The record is from RNAcentral.
CCCUUAGAUGUUCCGGGCCGCACGCGCGCUACACUGAUGCAUUCAACGAGUCUAAAACCUGGUCUGAGAGGGCUGGGUAAUCUUUUGAAAGUGCAUCGUGAUUGGGAUAGAUGAUUGCAAUUCUUCAUCUUCAACGAGGAAUGCCUAGUAAACGCAAGUCAUCAGCUUGCAUUGAUUACGUCCCUGCCCUUUGUACACACCGCCCGUCGCUCCUACCGAUUGAACGAUCCGAUGAAAACUGUGGAUUGAGAGUCUGAGUGGGUUCGCCUACCUCAACUUUCGAGAAGCGGUUUAAAUCUUAUCGUUUAGAGGAAGGAGAAGUCGUAACA